CGUAGGUGGCAAGCGUUGUCCGGAUUUACUGGGCGUAAAGCGAGCGCAGGCGGACCGUUAAGUAGGAAGUGAAAGGUCGGAGCUCAACUCCAACAUUGCUUUCUAUACUGGCGGUCUUGAGUCACGGAGGGGAAAGCGGAACGACACGUGUAGCGGUGAAAUGCGUUGAUAUGUGUCGGAACACCAAUGGCGAAGGCAGCUUUCUGGACGAUGACUGACGCUCAGGCUCGAAAGCCAAGGUAGCGAACAGGAUUAGAUACCCUGGUAGUCUUGGCCCUAAACUAUGAUCACUAGGUGUCGGGGGGUUUCCUUCGGUGCCGCAGCUAACGCAUUAAGUGAUCCGCCUGGGGACUACGGCCGCAAGGUUG
RNAcentral lists this ribosomal RNA (368 nucleotides) under uncultured organism. RNAcentral describes it as "bacterial SSU rRNA". It matches the Rfam family "Bacterial small subunit ribosomal RNA", at positions 526 to 896 of the family's 1533-position model. The record is from RNAcentral.